Molecule: long non-coding RNA, 576 nt
Organism: Physeter macrocephalus (sperm whale)
Lineage: Eukaryota; Metazoa; Chordata; Mammalia; Artiodactyla; Physeteridae
Exons: 3
Source: RefSeq, a predicted model, not a curated record
GAAGGAGAAUAUAUUAGUCAUUUUGCUCAGGCUGCUGUAACAAAACACCACAGACUGAGUAGCUUAAACAACAGAGAUUUAUUUCUCACAGUUCUGGAAGCUGGAAGUCCAAGAUCUAGGUGCCAGCAAAUGUGGUUUCCAGUGAGGGUUCUCUUCCUGGCAGUUAUGAAGGUCAGAAGGUCACCAUCGAGGUGGUGACAUCACUGUUUUCCUUCUGGGGACUUUAGAGGAGAAAUCGUUUCUUUGCCCCUUCCAGCUUCUAGAGGACACCUACAUUUCUGACGCAUGGUCUCUUUCUCCAUCUUCAAAGCGCAUCACUCCACCCUCUGGCUCCAUCACCACAUCUCCUUUUCCUGAUUCUGACUCCUCCUGCAUCCCUCUUCAUCUUUGCCAAAUUGUCAUCAAGCCUCUACCUUCAUACCUUUGAUAAUGGAGAACUCACUGCUUUUCAAGACCUCCAUCUUAUGCUGAAGAGUUAAAAGUGUGUCCUUAUAGUAACCCCCAGUCUUUCCUUUUUUCAUCUCUUCUUGAUCCUAGCUUUACCCCUAGGGGCCACCACUUUCAGAAUGGCUCGGG